Molecule: ribosomal RNA, 253 nt
Filed under: uncultured bacterium
Lineage: Bacteria
Description: partial 16S ribosomal RNA
Rfam family: Bacterial small subunit ribosomal RNA
Source: RNAcentral
UACGUAGGGCGCAAGCGUUGUCCGGAAUUAUUGGGCGUAAAGAGCUCGUAGGCGGUUUGUCGCGUCUGCUGUGAAAUCCCGAGGCUCAACCUCGGGCUUGCGGUGGGUACGGGCAGACUAGAGUGUGGUAGGGGAGACUGGAAUUCCUGGUGUAGCGGUGAAAUGCGCAGAUAUCAGGAGGAACACCGAUGGCGAAGGCAGGUCUCUGGGCCACUACUGACGCUGAGAAGCGAAAGCAUGGGGAGCGAACAGG